Molecule: ribosomal RNA, 253 nt
Filed under: uncultured bacterium
Lineage: Bacteria
Description: partial 16S ribosomal RNA
Rfam family: Bacterial small subunit ribosomal RNA
Source: RNAcentral
UACGAAGGGGGCUAGCGUUGCUCGGAAUCACUGGGCGUAAAGCACACGUAGGCGGACUCUUAAGUCGGUGGUGAAAUCCUGGAGCUCAACUCCAGAACUGCCUUCGAUACUGAGAGUCUCGAGUCCGGGAGAGGUGAGUGGAACUGCGAGUGUAGAGGUGAAAUUCGUAGAUAUUCGCAAGAACACCAGUGGCGAAGGCGGCUCACUGGCCCGGUACUGACGCUGAGGUGCGAAAGCGUGGGGAGCAAACAGG